GGCCAGACUCCUACGGGAGGCAGCAGUGGGGGAUAUUGCACAAUGGGGGGAACCCUGAUGCAGCGACGCCGCGUGGGUGAAGAAGUAUUUCGGUAUGUAAAGCCCUAUCGGCAGGGAAGAAAUUGGACGGUACCUGACUAAGAAGCCCUGGCUAACUACGUGCCAGUAGCCGCGGGAAUACGUAGGGGGCGAGCGUUAUCCGGGUUCACUGGGUGUAAAGGGAGCGUAGACGGCCAUGCAAGCCAGGGGUGAAAGCCCGGGGCCCAACCCCGGGACUGCCCUUGGAACUGUGCGGCUAGAGUGCGGGAGGGGCAGGCGGAAUUCCUGGUGUAGCGGUGAAAUGCGUAGAUAUCAGGAGGAACACCGGCGGGGAAGGCGGCCUGCUGGACCGCGACUGACGUUGAGGCUCGAAAGCGUGGGGAGCGAACAGGAUUAGAUACCCGUGUAC
RNAcentral lists this ribosomal RNA (448 nucleotides) under uncultured bacterium. RNAcentral describes it as "bacterial SSU rRNA". It matches the Rfam family "Bacterial small subunit ribosomal RNA", at positions 329 to 793 of the family's 1533-position model. The record is from RNAcentral.